AUCCUUUUUCACCUUCACUUUCAGUCUUUGAUUCAGCUGGUUUAUCACAACAUACCCUGCCACAAAUGCUAAGGCUAGUUAGCAUGCCCACCGAUGAUGGCGGAUAUAUGGUUUUCCUGGGGCUUUAUCGACUCUGGCUGCCUUAAUUUGAGAGUGGCCAGACAGGAAGACGGUGUGGGGCAGACUGCCUAGUCGUACAUGGGUUUCUCACGCUCUAUUUCUGCUCCCCUUGAUUUUAGAAGAAGCGGCUGAACAGUCACCAGCAUCGCAGCGAAGCCACUACUAAAGAAACUGAUUUCUGUUUUCAUAGAGUAAAGACGCUCUGUGAGUCUGGGCGGCUUGUGAAAGGUUGAACUGCAGCUUUCCAGCCUCCCACAAGGCGUGGCUUAGCUGUUUGAUAGGGCGAAGUUUUUUCUCUGAACAUCUCAUUCCUGUAAACUGAGGACUGAGAGUUCACAAGAACUCUGCCCUCAUCACAACUUCUUCUGCAAAACCAUGAAGACAGUCACUAUUGAGUACUGUAAAGACUGAAGUUAUGCAUACCGCUACCAGGAACUAGCCGGCGUUCUCCGGCAGAUUCCUGGAGUGAAGGUAAAAGGAGUCACUGGGAGGACAGAUAGCUUUGAGGUAUCCCUGGAGGAUGAGCUUCUCUACUCAAAGCUAGAGACGAAGUCGUUUCCAGAUCCUGAGCAGAUGGCGGAGAAGUUGAUGGAGAAGCUUCCUGAUGGCAACGCCAAGAAGAAAUCCAAGAGACGGAUAUGCUCUGUCCUGUAAAAGGUGGAGAAACAAACAGUUAUAUUCACACUGGCAAAAAAAAACAAACGAAAAAAAACAGUCCAUAAACCUGUUGUGCACGUCCGGAGUAUGAAAAUUAGAGUAAGGAUUUUAAUUAAUGGAUGCAAAAUCUGUGUGUGCCAAAAUGAAAAGAUCUGAUAUGGCUCUGUCGCGGCUGUGAAUAUAAACAAGAUGUUUGUGAGAGCGGCUCUCUGGAUCCAGGCGGCGAUCGACGCCUCUUUUUAUGAAUGCACACACCUAAAACCCAAGUGGUGUGUGCACGAUGCAAGUCGAGAAGCUUCUCGGCCGCCUGGAGCCCGACAGUCUGCUUCAGUCUCAUCAAAGUUAUGAGAAACGGAGGGAGAAAAAAAAAACAGAUGCUCCUAAUGAAGAUUUGUAUAUAUUUGGGGAUUUCUUUGUUUAUACUACUGAACAGAAUCUACGUGCGUGUGGGAGUUUUUAAUCGCUCCUUAGAGUCUACUACGCCCCAGACUCUCAGGAACAUUCACUUAAUCUUUGCAAGAUGUAUUUGAUGUUUUUAUGAUCUAAAAUAUCUCAUUAAUAUCCGUUUUCCUCUGUCAAAGCAUCAUUACAGAGGAGCAAUAAAAACAUAAAAUCUGGUCUCAUAAUUCUAUUUUAUAUUUAACCUAAUCUCUGACCCACUUCUAUUCCCAUAAUAUCCUGCUGACCAAAAAUAAGCUGCAGAGCUGAGAAACAUGUUUUUCAGAUUGUGUGUCAUGCCCCACUGGGGAACAGGGAAGCCUGGGAACAUAAGACCAAUAAUGCCUGUACUUAAUAAACAUUUUAGUAGCACAUAACAUUCAACACAUGUGUGUAUAUAUCUGUAUCUAUAGAUGUAUGCAUAUGUAUUCCCCCCAAGACAGAUCAAAUUUGACUGAUACCAUUAAUUUGGGUGAAGCAAAUGUUGGUUUAUAUUAGCUUAGCUUUGUUAUUAUAUAAAAUAUUUCUUUAUCAAAUCACCUGCAUAACAUUAAAAAGUUUUUUUGUAAGUAGCCAAAGCUAUAAUUUUCCCAGAACUUUUAUUUUAUGCUAUUUUAUGCUGUUAACUUCCUGCUUGUAGUUUUUUUUUUUUAACCUUCAGUUAUGUUUUUUUUUUUUUUUUUCCCUAUCUUGAAUCUGAACAUAAAUGCCACGAUUUCUGCCAUUUACAGACUUUAUGCUAAGUUGCGCUAACUGGCUGCUAGCGUGGGAGAUUUUCUUUUGGGUUGUGUUUAACGUGGGAGUAUUUGGGUAAAGAAAUGCCAGACAUGUUUACUUUGGAUAUUUAUGACAAACCUCACAACAUGAACAACUGUACAAUAACAUUAUAAAGCAAAGUGCUACAUGGCCUGUAGUUGGACUCUUGAAACACUGCUCCUGUAACAUAUUUUGUUCCCGUUCAAUAAAAUGUAACUGAUUGCCA
This is a long non-coding RNA of Poecilia latipinna (sailfin molly), 2197 nucleotides long. RefSeq lists it as uncharacterized. The record is from RefSeq and is a predicted model, not a curated record. NCBI's taxonomy places the organism in Eukaryota, Metazoa, Chordata, Actinopteri, Cyprinodontiformes, Poeciliidae. The transcript is spliced from 6 exons.